GAUGAACACUGGCGGCGUGCUUAACACAUGCAAGUCGAACGGUGAAGGGUGGGAGCUUGCUCUUGCUGGAUCAGUGGCGAACGGGUGAGUAACACGUGAGUAACCUGCCCUUGACUCUGGGAUAAGCGUUGGAAACGACGUCUAAUACCGGAUACGAGCUUCAGCCGCAUGGCUAGGAGUUGGAAAGAAUUUCGGUCAAGGAUGGACUCGCGGCCUAUCAGCUUGUUGGUGAGGUAAUGGCUCACCAAGGCGACGACGGGUAGCCGGCCUGAGAGGGUGACCGGCCACACUGGGACUGAGACACGGCCCAGACUCCUACGGGAGGCAGCAGUGGGGAAUAUUGGACAAUGGGCGAAAGCCUGAU
This 364-nucleotide ribosomal RNA is filed under the name uncultured Microbacteriaceae bacterium. RNAcentral's name for it is "bacterial SSU rRNA". It matches the Rfam family "Bacterial small subunit ribosomal RNA", at positions 28 to 387 of the family's 1533-position model. The record is from RNAcentral. Lineage: Bacteria; Bacillati; Actinomycetota; Actinomycetes; Micrococcales; Microbacteriaceae.